This 503-nucleotide ribosomal RNA is filed under the name uncultured bacterium. Its description in RNAcentral is "partial 16S ribosomal RNA". It matches the Rfam family "Bacterial small subunit ribosomal RNA", at positions 28 to 523 of the family's 1533-position model. The record is from RNAcentral.
GAUGAACGCUGGCGGCGUGCCUAAUACAUGCAAGUCGAACGAAGAUCUAGCUUGCUAGAUCUUAGUGGCGAACGGGUGAGUAAUACAUAAAUAAUCUGCCCAUAUGACUGGGAUAACUAUUGGAAACGAUAGCUAAUACCGGCUAGGUUGAUUGGAGGCAUCUCUGAUUAAUUAAAGUAGGAUUUCUACACAAAUGGAUGAGUUUAUGGCGCAUUAGUUCGUUGGUGGGGUAACGGCCUACCAAGACGAUGAUGCGUAGCCGACCUGAGAGGGUGACCGGCCACACUGGGACUGAGAAACGGCCCAGACUCCUACGGGAGGCAGCAGUAGGGCAUUUUCGGCAAUGGGCGCAAGCCUGACCGAGCAACGCCGCGUGAGUGAUUAAGGCCUUCGGGUUGUAAAGCUCUGUUGUAAGGGAAGAACAUUCAGGAUAGGAAAUGAUCUUGAACUGACGGUACCUUACCAGAAAGCCACGGCUAACUACGUGCCAGCAGCCGCCGUAA